UAUUAUUAUCAGAAAUAAACAAUCUCGUACGUUCGGAAUCGGCAUUAUCAAGUUAAACAGCAUUCGGUCAGGAUAAUAUAUGUUCGCUUGACUUACAUGUAUGUAUAUUAUACAAGUCAGAUUACUCUUGUAUCUCAACUUUUCAGCUGCAUUCCUGUCGACCAGAACGUCUCCUUGUGUCACUAAAUCAUCGAAAACUUGUAAAAGGUAGCCUCAACGUACAGUCUGUACAUGAAGUUUUGCUAAUAUUUAAGCAAUGGCCAAAUUGUGGAUUACAUUUCUGGCGGUCGCAUUGGUCGGCCUGAUGGUUUUGGCUGCUGUCAUGGCCGACGAAACCACCCCGGAGCCGGACUCGCUGAACCCGGAUAAAAUUUUUAAUAAAUACAUUAAACAGAUCGAAGCUGAAAUGGGCGCAGUUGGUGUAACUGUAGUUAAUACUACACAGAAAGCUGCCUAAUGCUUAAUUUUACAAUUUCUAAAUACAAAUGCCACAGCCAUAAUUCUUAAGACUCAUCAAUAAAGGUACUAUCAAGGUAUCAAGGUAAAGAUCUAUAUUACAACGGA
Paramacrobiotus metropolitanus is the source of this 564-nucleotide long non-coding RNA. RefSeq lists it as uncharacterized. The transcript has 3 exons. The record is from RefSeq and is a predicted model, not a curated record. Lineage: Eukaryota; Metazoa; Tardigrada; Eutardigrada; Parachela; Macrobiotidae.